RNAcentral lists this ribosomal RNA (606 nucleotides) under Curtobacterium sp. Ri3Pt_6448. Its description in RNAcentral is "bacterial SSU rRNA". It matches the Rfam family "Bacterial small subunit ribosomal RNA", at positions 406 to 1021 of the family's 1533-position model. Lineage: Bacteria; Bacillati; Actinomycetota; Actinomycetes; Micrococcales; Microbacteriaceae. The record is from RNAcentral.
GGAUGACGGCCUUCGGGUUGUAAACCUCUUUUAGUAGGGAAGAAGCGAAAGUGACGGUACCUGCAGAAAAAGCACCGGCUAACUACGUGCCAGCAGCCGCGGUAAUACGUAGGGUGCAAGCGUUGUCCGGAAUUAUUGGGCGUAAAGAGCUCGUAGGCGGUUUGUCGCGUCUGCUGUGAAAUCCCGAGGCUCAACCUCGGGCUUGCAGUGGGUACGGGCAGACUAGAGUGCGGUAGGGGAGAUUGGAAUUCCUGGUGUAGCGGUGGAAUGCGCAGAUAUCAGGAGGAACACCGAUGGCGAAGGCAGAUCUCUGGGCCGUAACUGACGCUGAGGAGCGAAAGCAUGGGGAGCGAACAGGAUUAGAUACCCUGGUAGUCCAUGCCGUAAACGUUGGGCGCUAGAUGUAGGGACCUUUCCACGGUUUCUGUGUCGUAGCUAACGCAUUAAGCGCCCCGCCUGGGGAGUACGGCCGCAAGGCUAAAACUCAAAGGAAUUGACGGGGGCCCGCACAAACGGCGGAGCAUGCGGAUUAAUUCGAUGCAACGCGAAGAACCUUACCAAGGCUUGACAUACACCGGAAACGGCCAGAGAUGGUCGCCCCCUUGU